CAGUAGCCGCGGGAAUACGGAGGGCGCGAGCGUUACCCGGAUUUACUGGGCGUAAAGGGCGUGUAGGCGGCCUGGGGCGUCCCAUGCGAAAGGCCACGGCUCAACCGUGGAGGAGCGUGGGAUACGCUCAGGCUAGAGGGUGGGAGAGGGUGGUGGAAUUCCCGGAGUAGCGGUGAAAUGCGCAGAUACCGGGAGGAACGCCGAUGGCGAAGGCAGCCACCUGGUCCACUUCUGACGCUGAGGCGCGAAAGCGUGGGGAGCAAACCGGAUUAGAUACCCCAGUAGUCCCUGUCUCUUAUAC
RNAcentral lists this ribosomal RNA (301 nucleotides) under uncultured bacterium. Its description in RNAcentral is "partial 16S ribosomal RNA". It matches the Rfam family "Bacterial small subunit ribosomal RNA", at positions 509 to 807 of the family's 1533-position model. The record is from RNAcentral.